AUAGGUAUGAUGAAAAUGGUAUACAUGCUAGAUUUAGAUUCUAGUGGCUAAAAAGUCUUAAGGGUUCGAGUCCCUUUACCUAUA
RNAcentral lists this transfer RNA (84 nucleotides) under Rhodogorgon sp. RNAcentral describes it as "tRNA-Leu". It matches the Rfam family "tRNA". From Rfam's summary of the family: Transfer RNA (tRNA) molecules are approximately 80 nucleotides in length. Their secondary structure includes four short double-helical elements and three loops (D, anti-codon, and T loops). The record is from RNAcentral. Lineage: Eukaryota; Rhodophyta; Florideophyceae; Rhodogorgonales; Rhodogorgonaceae.